This 53-nucleotide small RNA is filed under the name Caenorhabditis elegans. RNAcentral's name for it is "Unclassified non-coding RNA Y41C4A.30". The record is from RNAcentral. Lineage: Eukaryota; Metazoa; Nematoda; Chromadorea; Rhabditida; Rhabditidae.
UUUUGUUUUGGAAAUUUCCAGAAAGGUUAACUAAAAAAAUAUUUCCACACCUU